This 255-nucleotide long non-coding RNA is filed under the name Homo sapiens (human). RNAcentral's name for it is "non-protein coding lnc-NVL-5:1". Lineage: Eukaryota; Metazoa; Chordata; Mammalia; Primates; Hominidae. The record is from RNAcentral.
UGAUUCUUCAUCUGAUUCUGAAGAAGUGCUAUAAAUACAUAUUAUGAAAAUAAAAAACAAUAGGGAUAUCAAUGUUGAAUAUGUGGGUUGCUUAAAAGUAAAGAACCACAUAUACUUUAGUAUGCCUGGUGGAUAAGUUAGCCGCCCUUUCCUCCCUCUUUUUACCCUAAAACACCAGAUACUUUGCUCAUGCUGUUCUGUCUGUUUACGGUGAGAAACUGAGGUUGGAAAAAGCAGUAGCUGAAUUAAUUGAUU